UACGGAGGGUGCAAGCGUUAUCCGGAAUUACUGGGUUUAAAGGGUGCGUAGGCGGUUUUAUAAGUCAGUGGUGAAAAGUCUGGGCUCAACCGAGGCCUUGCCAUUGAAACUGUAAAACUUGAAAUAAGUUAAGGUAGGCGGAAUGUGACAUGUAGCGGUGAAAUGCAUAGAUAUGUCAUAGAACACCAAUUGCGAAGGCA
This 200-nucleotide ribosomal RNA is filed under the name uncultured bacterium. RNAcentral describes it as "partial 16S ribosomal RNA". It matches the Rfam family "Bacterial small subunit ribosomal RNA", at positions 524 to 723 of the family's 1533-position model. The record is from RNAcentral.